Molecule: transfer RNA, 74 nt
Filed under: Planctomycetota bacterium
Lineage: Bacteria; Pseudomonadati; Planctomycetota
Description: Planctomycetes bacterium (subsurface metagenome) tRNA-Pro
Rfam family: tRNA
About the family: Transfer RNA (tRNA) molecules are approximately 80 nucleotides in length. Their secondary structure includes four short double-helical elements and three loops (D, anti-codon, and T loops). Further hydrogen bonds mediate the characteristic L-shaped molecular structure. tRNAs have two regions of fundamental functional importance: the anti-codon, which is responsible for specific mRNA codon recognition, and the 3' end, to which the tRNAs corresponding amino acid is attached (by aminoacyl-tRNA synthetases). tRNAs cope with the degeneracy of the genetic code in two manners: having more than one tRNA (with a specific anti-codon) for a particular amino acid; and 'wobble' base-pairing, i.e. permitting non-standard base-pairing at the 3rd anti-codon position.
Source: RNAcentral
CGGGGCGUGGCCUAGUCUGGUAGGGCGCCUGACUGGGGGUCAGGAGAUCGAAGGUUCAAAUCCUUUCGCCCCGA